Molecule: small RNA, 1615 nt
Filed under: Oryza sativa Japonica Group (Japanese rice)
Lineage: Eukaryota; Viridiplantae; Streptophyta; Magnoliopsida; Poales; Poaceae
Description: sRNA Os02g0726833
Source: RNAcentral
AUUCAAUAACCUGCAAACAAAAUGCUUCACAAGGGAGAAAUUGCAAUAUAGCCUGCUGACUACAGUGCCAAAAUUGAUAUUCUGUUUACCUCCGAAAGGAAAGAAGCUUUGUCUCUCUUCUGAUCAGUGUGUGGCAGGAGUUCACGAAGUAUUUCAAGCCUGAAGGAGAGCAUGAAGAAUUGCAUUUUAGAACACAUUUCUUGCACCAUAUACUUAUAUGAAAUUGUCUUGGAAUUAAAUGCUGCUAAUAUGAUAUCUUGUUGAGCUAUCUAGCUACGUCUUCAUGGUUGGUUUGUUCCUGCUCUGCAGAAAAUAAUUCAAAAUGGUGUUUGACCUCUACUAGCUUGCCUGUCAUUUAUCUUGGUCCUCCUUCUCUGCUCAGUUGCUGAAUGCUUUGAUCUCGGAGUGCUGGGUCCCUGAUCGGCGCUGCUGGCGCUACUUCUUCCCUCUGCUCUUGUUGCUGAGUGCACAUGUAUAUAUCAAAUCCAUCAGUGCCUGAAUUGAAGUGACAGACUAGAGAAUCAACAAUACAACUGCGGUACUAACCUUCAUAUGGUGUCUGGCCUAUGGAUCUUUGAUCAAUGGCAGAAUCUUGCCACAUCGUCGACGGCGCACGGUGAGCCCUACUCCCAGAUCUUCCUCCUGUUUCAUGUGCAUUCUCCAUCCUGGCGCCAUGAAGCGCAGGUGCAAAUGCGAACGCACUCCUCCUGACGCCGCCAUGGCUACCGGCCUCUUCUCUCGACGGAGUACCGGACGCGUGCCUGAUGCUGAACGUCCCGACGCCGCCCGGUAGCACGUGCUCCUCCGAGUCCGAACCUGCCGGCGACGCGCCGUCGACGGCACUCCCCGCCGCCGUGCCAUUGCCGCUGCUGCGGCCGCGCUGCUUGGCCAGGUCCAGUGGCCUCAGUGAUCUGCGGAUCUCCAUACCGUAUCCUGCACUUGACAUGGGUAACAUGGGUUAGCAAGUUGGUGCAUUGCUGUCUAACUUGCACACCAUGGCACUUGCAGUUGAGAAGGCAAAGGAGAGGGCGGUGCAGACAGCUCACCUCGCGAUGAAUGGCUGGAAUGCUGCUCCUCCCGGUGCUGGAACGGCGGCGACGACGAGCCGCCGCCGGCGCGGAGCGAGAGGAAGUCAUGAGCCGGCUCCUCUCCUGCGAAUCACCGACAAGCACAACACAACACACGGCAAUGUACCAUGAGCUGAUGAGCAUCAUGCGGUGAAGAGAGAAGACGCUGUGGAAUUGGAGGAAGGAAGGAAAGGACACUAGGGUGAAGUGUAAUUCUCUUUGAUACCUUGGAAAAGCUGCAUUGGCGCCCGGGACACAGGACACUGGAGAUCUGUCGACGCUGCUGCCAAGCCGAGCGGCCUGCCGUUGCAGCAGAAAGAUGGCGCCUGGAUCUUGCCGCUGGGCAGUACACUGAUGGAAUGUAGCGAAUUCGGUUGUCCACUCGGACCUUAUUAUAGUCGGCUAAGAGAGAGUCGAGAAGGAUAGGAGACUGAUAAUGAUAUAACAAAUAAGCUAGGGAGGUAAGCCCUGCUGCCUGCCGCCUCCCUGCCUGUCUGGCUGGUAGUAUUAUACUUUGUACCUUUGAUAUAACAAACGUUUCAUGGUUA